GAUGGAGACUGGGCAGAAGGGAUCUGGCAGCAUCUCUUCCUGAGGGUGUGAGGAAUGAGUCCUGUGGAGGGCAGCACAUGAGCCCUCUACCUCCAUGUGGGCCCCAGUCCCCUCCUGCUGUCAGGCUAGGUGGGCCUUCGAGAGAGAGAGAGAGGAGGCUGCGUUCAUUAUGUGCACUCUUCUGUGUUAUGUGAGAGCGAGGGGUCGGCAGCAGCAAGUGGCCUGCGUGCGCGAGGGGGGCUUUCUCUGUGGUCCGACGCUGUGUCAAGCUCUGCACCGGCCAUGAGUAUGCAGCCAAGAUCAUCAACACCAAGAAGCUGUCAGCCAGAGAUCACCAGAAGCUGGAGAGAGAGGCUCGGAUCUGCCGCCUUCUGAAGCAUUCCAACAUCGUGCGUCUCCACGACAGCAUCUCCGAGGAGGGCUUCCACUACCUGGUCUUCGAUCUGGUCACUGGUGGGGAGCUCUUUGAAGACAUUGUGGCGAGAGAGUACUACAGCGAGGCUGAUGCCAGUCACUGUAUCCAGCAGAUCCUGGAGGCCGUUCUCCAUUGUCACCAAAUGGGGGUCGUCCACAGA
Molecule: small RNA, 575 nt
Filed under: Pan troglodytes (chimpanzee)
Lineage: Eukaryota; Metazoa; Chordata; Mammalia; Primates; Hominidae
Description: processed transcript
Source: RNAcentral